GCCGACGUAGCUCAGUUGGUAGAGCUCCACUCUUGUAAAGUGGUUGUCGCCGGUUCGAAUCCGGCCGUCGGCU
RNAcentral lists this transfer RNA (73 nucleotides) under Vulcanimicrobiota bacterium. Its description in RNAcentral is "tRNA-Thr". It matches the Rfam family "tRNA". From Rfam's summary of the family: Transfer RNA (tRNA) molecules are approximately 80 nucleotides in length. Lineage: Bacteria; Bacillati; Vulcanimicrobiota. The record is from RNAcentral.